Penaeus vannamei (Pacific white shrimp) is the source of this 940-nucleotide non-coding RNA. The record is from RefSeq and is a predicted model, not a curated record. NCBI's taxonomy places the organism in Eukaryota, Metazoa, Arthropoda, Malacostraca, Decapoda, Penaeidae.
AUGUAUAUGCUGCUCAUUGUCAUAUGGCUGAUUUCGCCUUUCAUGUCAUGGGUCUUUGUGAUUCCUGCUACCAUUAUCUCUCGCUAUAUCUUUGUGAAUUUGCUUGGGGAGGAUAUGUUCAUAGAAGUUUUCGGCGGACCUGGAGGUAUUGGUCCCCUAUCCCUUGUAGAAAGUGCCUUCCGGGGAGUCUUCUUUUAAGUUUCAAGUCACGCACAUUGUUUGUUAUUCAUGCCCAUCUGUCCUAGUCAUCAUUAUCUCUGUAGUAAGCCUCUAAUAAUACCAUCACAUUAAGUCCCAGUCUUGUAAGUAAAAAAAGUAAGUAAAAAAAAGAUGAAAAAUUUUUUUUUUUUUUCAUAGGAAUAGUAGUCCCAGUCUUGCUUUCUAUAAUAUGAUGCAGAUUCAAGUGCUAAUUUUUAGAAGAGAGCAAGAAGAAAAAUUAAAGGGGAACAUAAUCAUUUAUAAAUCAAGGUACACAGAUAAAGGUGCAUGAUAUAUGACUGGUAAUGGUACCUGGUAAAACUACAUUUAAGUAUAAUGAAAUAACAUAUGAAAAAUUGACUGUUGACAGUUACAAUACAUGACUGGAAUCAUGUAAACAUUAAUCUAACAAAUGUGAAUACUAUAUGUUUAACACUGGAAUCAAGCACAGAAAAUAGCUGAACUGAAGUAUUCCCAAAAUAAACUGACCAUAUAAAUGCAAAUUAAUAACUCCAAGACCUAGAAAAAUAUUAACUCCAUGACCUAGAAAAAUAUUCACUAAUAGCUGUUUAUAAAAUGCCAAACAGCCAGUUGAAUAUUGGAAAUAAAUUCCCACCAAACCACACCAGGCUAGCAAGGUUUGCAGUGUCAAAUAUUCAUUUCAGAGUUCUAAUGCUACAGAGAUAAAGACAUGUACACACGCACACACAAACUCACACAAAAUUAUGCACCUACACACACA